RNAcentral lists this ribosomal RNA (675 nucleotides) under uncultured Dechloromonas sp. RNAcentral's name for it is "bacterial SSU rRNA". It matches the Rfam family "Bacterial small subunit ribosomal RNA", at positions 94 to 764 of the family's 1533-position model. Lineage: Bacteria; Pseudomonadati; Pseudomonadota; Betaproteobacteria; Rhodocyclales; Azonexaceae. The record is from RNAcentral.
AGUGGCGAACGGGUGAGUAAUGUAUCGGAACGUACCUUUCAGUGGGGGAUAACGUAGCGAAAGUUACGCUAAUACCGCAUAUUCUGUGAGCAGGAAAGCAGGGGAUCGAAAGACCUUGCGCUGAUUGAGCGGCCGAUAUCAGAUUAGCUAGUUGGUGGGGUAAAGGCCUACCAAGGCGACGAUCUGUAGCGGGUCUGAGAGGAUGAUCCGCCACACUGGAACUGAGACACGGUCCAGACCCCUACGGGAGGCAGCAGUGGGGAAUUUUGGACAAUGGGGGCAACCCUGAUCCAGCCAUGCCGCGUGAGUGAAGAAGGCCUUCGGGUUGUAAAGCUCUUUCGGCCGGGAAGAAAUCGCAUAGGCUAAUACCCUGUGUGGAUGACGGUACCGGAAUAAGAAGCACCGGCUAACUACGUGCCAGCAGCCGCGGUAAUACGUAGGGUGCGAGCGUUAAUCGGAAUUACUGGGCGUAAAGCGUGCGCAGGCGGUUUCGUAAGACAGAGGUGAAAUCCCCGGGCUCAACCUGGGAACUGCCUUUGUGACUGCGAGGCUAGAGUACGGCAGAGGGGGGGUGGAAUUCCACGUGUAGCAGUGAAAUGCGUAGAGAUGUGGAGGAACACCGAUGGCGAACGCAGCCCCCUGGGCCGAUACUGACGCUCAUGCACGAAAGCGUGG